AUGUUUGCUUCAGCAGCAUGUAUACUAAAAUUGGAACAACCCAGAGAAGAUUAGCAUGGACCCUGCACAAGGAUGACAUACAAACUCAUGAAAUGUUCCAUAUUGUU
Cricetulus griseus (Chinese hamster) is the source of this 107-nucleotide small nuclear RNA. NCBI's taxonomy places the organism in Eukaryota, Metazoa, Chordata, Mammalia, Rodentia, Cricetidae. The record is from Ensembl.